This is a non-coding RNA of Coffea arabica (coffee), 806 nucleotides long. The record is from RefSeq and is a predicted model, not a curated record. NCBI's taxonomy places the organism in Eukaryota, Viridiplantae, Streptophyta, Magnoliopsida, Gentianales, Rubiaceae.
AAGGGCUACAAGUUUUAUGUUUUGGUCAAGAGCUAAAUCAUCUUUUAUCAUCAAGAAAAGUUCAGUUGAAGUUGACGCAAAAUCGGAGCAGAGCUGGAAAUUGAACAAAAGUGUACCAAAAUGUCACUGUAGCAAUCCGGUCGGAACUUAGCCGGAUUUCUGGCCGGAUUGUGGUCAGAGAAGGCUGCUCUUUACGCGGAAAACUUAUUUUCACCUCCAACAAGUCACAUGCAAUGCCAGACAUGUGAGAACUACUUUGCAGCUGUAAAAGGGUGGUGUAGGCCUCAUUUUCUUGAUUUCUUUCAUCUUUAUAUAGCCAAAACUUGCAAGAUUGAAAGAAGAAUAGAGAGACAUACGGGAGAACUUGGAGAGUGCAGAGAUGUAACUCUUACAUCUUUUGAGUGUUAGAUUAGUUUUAAUAUAGAUUAGUAUAGUUCAUCCAUUCUUGUAUAUUGGCUAGACUAGGAUGAAGAUGGAAAUGAAGAAGGAGGAGUUGAAGCUCAAGUGACAUGGGAAUGUGAUGCAGUGGCAGAAGAUUAUUUCUUUGCAUACCCUGACCAGGUCACCUAAAAUAAAUGUACAGACUGAUUUUUUUGGGGGUUACAAAUUUGUAUAUUAUUUGGUUGAAUGGCUACCCACAUCAAAGUAUUCAGAUAAUAUAAAGUUCAUAAGUUCACAAAAAAUAUCCAAAAGAUUAAGGGAGAAAAAAUAUCCAAAAGAUUAAGGGAGUCAUGGAUUUGAUGAAUGUCUGAUAUGAAUCUUGGGUUGACUUGGUUUAUUAUCAUAUUAAAUUUCACUUUUAGACA